GUGGGGAAUUUUGGACAAUGGGCGCAAGCCUGAUCCAGCCAUGCCGCGUGCAGGAUGAAGGCCUUCGGGUUGUAAACUGCUUUUGUACGGAACGAAAAGACUCUUUCUAAUAAAGAGGGUCCAUGACGGUACCGUAAGAAUAAGCACCGGCUAACUACGUGCCAGCAGCCGCGGUAAUACGUAGGGUGCGAGCGUUAAUCGGAAUUACUGGGCGUAAAGCGUGCGCAGGCGGUGAUGUAAGACAGAUGUGAAAUCCCCGGGCUCAACCUGGGAACUGCAUUUGUGACUGCAUCGCUGGAGUGCGGCAGAGGGGGAUGGAAUUCCGCGUGUAGCAGUGAAAUGCGUAGAUAUGCGGAGGAACACCGAUGGCGAAGGCAAUCCCCUGGGCCUGCACUGACGCUCAUGCACGAAAGCGUGGGGAGCAAACAGGAUUAGAUACCCGAGUAGUCC
RNAcentral lists this ribosomal RNA (450 nucleotides) under uncultured bacterium. RNAcentral describes it as "partial 16S ribosomal RNA". It matches the Rfam family "Bacterial small subunit ribosomal RNA", at positions 354 to 796 of the family's 1533-position model. The record is from RNAcentral.